RNAcentral lists this ribosomal RNA (202 nucleotides) under uncultured bacterium. RNAcentral's name for it is "partial 16S ribosomal RNA". It matches the Rfam family "Bacterial small subunit ribosomal RNA", at positions 1300 to 1500 of the family's 1533-position model. The record is from RNAcentral.
GCAGGCUGCAACUCGCCUGCAUGAAGCUGGAAUUGCUAGUAAUCGUGGAUCAGCAUGCCACGGUGAAUACGUUCCCGGGCCUUGUACACACCGCCCGUCACACCAUGAGAGUCAGUAACGCCCGAAGUCAGUGACCCAACCAAUCAGGAGGGAGCUGCCGAAGGUGGGACCGAUAACUGGGGUGAAGUCGUAACAAGGUAAC